AAAAUGGUGUUUUUCAACACCAUAAACCAAAGUUCUUAAAAGAUG
Molecule: non-coding RNA, 45 nt
Organism: Picea glauca (white spruce)
Lineage: Eukaryota; Viridiplantae; Streptophyta; Pinopsida; Pinales; Pinaceae
Source: Rfam